This 217-nucleotide ribosomal RNA is filed under the name uncultured bacterium. RNAcentral describes it as "partial 16S ribosomal RNA". It matches the Rfam family "Bacterial small subunit ribosomal RNA", at positions 1285 to 1500 of the family's 1533-position model. The record is from RNAcentral.
GUCCCAGUUCGGACUGGAGUCUGCAACCCGACUCCACGAAGUUGGGUUCGCUAGUAAUCGCGCAUCAGCCAUGGCGCGGUGAAUACGUUCCCGGGCCUUGUACACACCGCCCGUCAAACCAUGAGAGUUGGCAACACCCGAAGUCGGUAGUCUAACCGCAAGGAGGACGCCGCCGAAGGUGGGGUUGAUGAUUAGGGUUAAGUCGUAACAAGGUAAC